Molecule: ribosomal RNA, 433 nt
Filed under: uncultured bacterium
Lineage: Bacteria
Description: partial 16S ribosomal RNA
Rfam family: Bacterial small subunit ribosomal RNA
Source: RNAcentral
AACGAACGCUGGCGGCAUGCCUAACACAUGCAAGUCGAACGAGACCUUCGGGUCUAGUGGCGCACGGGCGCGUAACGCGUGGGAACCUGCCCUUAGGUUCGGAAUAACUCCCCGAAAGGGGUGCUAAUACCGGAUAAUGUCUUCGGACCAAAGAUUUAUCGCCUUUGGAUGGGCCCGCGUUGGAUUAGCUAGUUGGUAGGGUAAAAGCCUACCAAGGCGACGAUCCAUAGCUGGUCUGAGAGGAUGAUCAGCCACACUGGGACUGAGACACGGCCCAGACUCCUACGGGAGGCAGCAGUGGGGAAUAUUGGACAAUGGGCGAAAGCCUGAUCCAGCAAUGCCGCGUGAGUGAUGGAGGCCUUAGGGUUGUAAAGCUCUUUUACCCGGGAUGAUAAUGACAGUACCGGGAGAAUAAGCUCCGGCUAACUCCGUG